RNAcentral lists this ribosomal RNA (253 nucleotides) under uncultured bacterium. RNAcentral's name for it is "partial 16S ribosomal RNA". It matches the Rfam family "Bacterial small subunit ribosomal RNA", at positions 524 to 776 of the family's 1533-position model. The record is from RNAcentral.
UACAGGGGGUGCAAACGUUGCUCGGAAUCAUUGGGCGUAAAGCGCACGUAGGCGGUUACUUAAGUCGGAUGUGAAAGCCCUUGGCUCAACUGAGGAAGUGCAUCCGAAACUGAGUAGCUAGAGUACGAAAGAGGGUCGCGGAAUUCCCGGUGUAGAGGUGAAAUUCGUAGAUAUCGGGAGGAACACCGGUGGCGAAGGCGGCGACCUGGGUCGAGACUGACGCUGAGAGACGAAAGCCAGGGGAGCAAACGGG